Molecule: ribosomal RNA, 440 nt
Filed under: uncultured bacterium
Lineage: Bacteria
Description: partial 16S ribosomal RNA
Rfam family: Bacterial small subunit ribosomal RNA
Source: RNAcentral
CCUACGGGUGGCAGCAGUGGGGAAUAUUGCACAAUGGGCGAAACCCUGAUGCAGCGACGCCGCGUGAGUGAUGAAGGACUUCGGUACUUAAAGCUCUAUUAGCAGGGAAGAAAAUGACGGUACCUGACUAUGAAGCUCUGGCUAACUACGGGACAGCAGCCGCGGUAUUACGUAGGGGGCACGCGUUAUCCGGAGUUAAUGGGGGAAAAGGGAGCGUUGACGGGGGCGCAAGUCUGAUGUGAAAGCCCAUGGCUUAACCGUGGAACUGCAUUGGAAACUGUGCAACUUGAGUGCAGGAGAGGUAAGCGGAAUUCCUGGUGUAGCGGUGAAAUGCGUAGAUAUUAGGAGGAACACCAGUGGCGAAGGCGACUUACUGGACUGUAACUGACGUUGAGGCUCGAAAGCGUGGGGAGCAAACAGGAUUAGAUACCCGAGUAGUC